CAGUAGCCACGGGAAUACGAAGGGUGCAAGCGUUAAUCGGAAUUACUGGGCGUAAAGCGUGCGUAGGCGGUGAGUUAAGUCUGCUGUGAAAUCCCCGGGCUCAACCUGGGAAUGGCAGUGGAUACUGGCUCGCUAGAGUGUGUCAGAGGAUGGUGGAAUUCCCGGUGUAGCGGUGAAAUGCGUAGAGAUCGGGAGGAACAUCAGUGGCGAAGGCGACUAUCUGGGCCAACACUGACACUGAGGCACGAAAGCGUGGGGAGCAAACAGGAUUAGAUACCCCCGUAGUCCCUGUCUCUUAUAC
RNAcentral lists this ribosomal RNA (301 nucleotides) under uncultured bacterium. RNAcentral describes it as "partial 16S ribosomal RNA". It matches the Rfam family "Bacterial small subunit ribosomal RNA", at positions 509 to 807 of the family's 1533-position model. The record is from RNAcentral.